GAUGAAGAACGCAGCGAAAUGCGAUACUUGGUGUGAAUUGCAGAAUCCCGUGAACCAUCGAGUCUUUGAACGCAAGUUGCGCCCGAAGCCAUUAGGCCGAGGGCACGCCUGCCUGGGCGUCACACGUCGUUGCCCCCCCAUCUACUCCUUCGGGAUUGCGGGGGGCGGAUGAUGGCCUCUCGUGCGCCUCGUCGCGCGGUUGGCCUAAAUGCCAAGCCCUCGGCGACGCACGCCACGACAAUCGGUGGUUGCGAAACCUCGGUUGCCUGUCGUGUGCGGUCGUCGCGCAUCGAGGGCUCGAAAAAAUUGCCGGGCUUCGGCUCGACUUUCAACGCGACCCCAGGUCAGGCGGGGUUACCCGCUGAAUUUAAGCAUAUCAAUAAGCGGAGGA
This 391-nucleotide unclassified non-coding RNA is filed under the name soil metagenome. RNAcentral's name for it is "partial contains 5.8S ribosomal RNA, internal transcribed spacer 2, and large subunit ribosomal RNA". The stretch from base 1 to 122 matches the Rfam family "5.8S ribosomal RNA", at positions 35 to 154 of the family's 154-position model. The record is from RNAcentral.